UACAGAGGGUGCGAGCGUUAAUCGGAAUUACUGGGCGUAAAGCGCGCGUAGGCGGCUUUGCAAGUCGGGUGUGAAAUCCCCAGGCUUAACCUGGGAACUGCAUUCGAGACUGCAUUGCUAGAGUAUGGGAGAGGGAAGUGGAAUUUCCGGUGUAGCGGUGAAAUGCGUAGAUAUCGGAAGGAACAUCAGUGGCGAAAGCGACUUCCUGGACCAAUACCGACGCUCAUGUGCGAAAGCGUGGGGAGCAAACAGG
Molecule: ribosomal RNA, 253 nt
Filed under: uncultured bacterium
Lineage: Bacteria
Description: partial 16S ribosomal RNA
Rfam family: Bacterial small subunit ribosomal RNA
Source: RNAcentral